AUACGUAGGGGGCGAGCGUUGUCCGGAUUUAUUGGGCGUAAAGGGCUCGUAGGCGGUUUGACAAGUCGGUCGUGAAAGCCCGGGGCUCAACCCCGGGACGCCGGUCGAAACUGCCAUGACUAGGGUCCGGUAGAGGUGAGUGGAAUUCUCGGUGUAGCGGUGAAAUGCGCAGAUAUCGAGAGGAACCCCAGUUGCGAAGGCGGCUCACUGGGCCGGUACCGACGCUGAGGAGCGAAAGCGUGGGGAGCAAACAGGAUUAGAUACCCUGGUAGUCCACGCCGUAAACGUUGAACACUAGGUGUGGCGGACUUAUCCACGUCCGCCGUGCCGCAGCUAACGCAUUAAGUGUUCCGCCUGGGGGAGUACGGCCGCAAGGCUAAAACUCAAAGGAAUUGACGGGGCCCCGCACCAAGCGGCGGAGCAUGCGGCUUAAUUCGAUGCAACCCGAAGAACCUUACCUGGACUUGACAUCAUGGGUCUACCUUCAGAAAUGUUGGGUGCUUUGCGCCCAUGACAGGUGGUGCAUGGCU
This 530-nucleotide ribosomal RNA is filed under the name uncultured Acidimicrobiales bacterium. RNAcentral's name for it is "bacterial SSU rRNA". It matches the Rfam family "Bacterial small subunit ribosomal RNA", at positions 523 to 1050 of the family's 1533-position model. Lineage: Bacteria; Bacillati; Actinomycetota; Acidimicrobiia; Acidimicrobiales. The record is from RNAcentral.